UGUAAAACGGUUUUCUAAUUCCUGAAAAAUUUUAAUAGAAGUAAUCUUUUUUAACGAUGAAAACUAUGAAUAGAAAUUUGAUCGAUAAAUAAACGGAAAUAAGGGCAAAGUAUAUUUGGAUACAUAAAGGUUAGAAGACUAUAAAUAUUAUAUCUAUUCAGAUUCAAAAAUCACUAUGUUUUUUUUAGAACAUGGAGAAUUCGAAUAACUAAGAAAUUUUUCAAUUAAAUAUCUUGUUGAGAUAUUCUUGAAAAUGAUUAAAAAUUAAAAAAAAAGAGGAAAAAAACUUUAUUUUGAAGAUGGACAUAAAUUAUUCAAACAAUUUACUUAAACGUGUUAGAAGCAACUAUGAAUAUUGAAAUAAAGAUGAAGAGUACUACAUAUUUCAUCACCUCAUCAUAUACUAUAAUGUAGUGUUUUCCCAGUCAGGCUUAACGUAAAUUCGAGUCAAUUACUAAGAUACCUAUAUAAAAUGAUUAUCGAAAUCGGAUGAUUAAUACUAGAACGAAACGAAAAAAAUACAACUUUGAAAAAAAUGAAUAGUACAAAUGAUUGGAAUGUUCAAGGUAUCGAAGGAAAGUGAAAUUUUCUUGAAGAGAAUAGAAAGUUUUAGCGAUAAGUUUUUUUUAUGACCUUAAAUGUCCUCGAAGAACACUCGUCGAAAUAAAAUAAGGACAGAAUGCAUCUAAACGUACUGUGUAUAGUUCGUAUCAGUCGAUAUUUUACAACAGGACCUGGAAUAUCGAUUUGGUAACUUCUAGACACGUGGCACCGCCAUUACGAUCGAUAUUACAAGAGUAUUUCGUCGAAAAUAUAUUCGCAAACUAUUUACCUAUACUACAACUGAAUUUUAUCAUUCGAUUUACAAAACAAUGGUCAAUAUCCAAACAGGAGAAGGAAAUUCGCGAGAGAGUCGAACAUGUAUAAUAUAAUAUAGAGGAAGAGAAAAUGAAAGGAAAUUCUAUAAAUAGGAAUAACAGUUCAUGCAGUAGUUCAUAAUAUCGAAGAUAGAUCAGAUAGCGUGCACUUUCGACAAUUUUCGAUUUAAUUUUCGAUAUAUUUUUUUUUUUUUUGCCGAAACGAAAGAACAUUUAGCUGGAAUAUUGACAACGAGAAACUGAAUAGUGAAAAAGAAAAAUGAAGAAGAAAAAAGUAUGGAGGAAAGUUGAUUUUUUCGUAAUAGAGGUAUCAAGGCUUUAAUCCUCUUAUUUAGACAUGGUAUGGAAAAAGGAUACUUGUAUCUGAAAGUGUGAAAGUAGAAGCGAAUACUCUUUGAAAUAUCGCGUGAAGGAACAUAAUGUGGAAAAAUUGCGGUAAGUAUGUGAGAAAAAAAGAUUCGUAAAAGUAAAUUGAAUACUAUGAUACUACCUUCCAAUUUUAUCUGAGGGUAUGCUAUGUAGGUCAGGAUGGUUGUUUUCUUCGAGGAUUUUCCCAAUGCACGAUUUUUACCUUCUUGCACUUGUCGUAAUAUCAUCGGAUAAUAAGAAAGAUAGACUAUUGUGUAAAAAUCUGUUUUUCCCUUUCUUAGAGAUUGAUUUUUUAUUGUUUCUUUUGGUGUAAACAUUAUUCUCUUUUAAGUUUGCUUGAAAUUUCUCCUACAAACGUUGCGAGAUUUUUCUAUGCUUCGGAAGAAAAGCAAGAAGAUAGAGAAAUGGAAAUCGGGAUAGAAAAUAAGAUAAAAAGAUCGAAUGGAAAGGAUAAGAAAUUUAAAAGAUUUUGUGCGAUUGAAAGGAUGUUUCGCUUAAGUUUCCACGAAAUCUUGACACGGAAAGAAACUGUACAGCACAAUUCUCGAGCACUCGUAACGCUAAAGUAGAGAGUAGAAUAAUAGGUGCUUGAAACAGUUACGAAAUGGCAGCUCGGCUAGAUCUCGCACGCGAAUUUUUUCUCGAAUGAAAACUAUUUUGAUGUUAUUUUUAUAUGAACUCUAUACGAUUAGAGGAAAUGAACAAAGGAUAAGAGAUGCAAUAGUAUUUUGCAAUGAUAAUGAUAAAAUAUUUUUUUUUUAAAAGAUUGUAAAGAUGAAGAGAAAUGACUGAGAUACCGAUUAAAGUAACGAUCGAUCGUAGCCAAAUAUCUAAUUUGGAAUGAUCACAAUCAUAACCAUAUAGCGAUAAUGAUUCUCUAAACGAAAAGUUUUAACAGGGAUAUCUUAGACACGCGAUGGCACGUUUAAAUUACGUAGAACCCAAAUACAGAGCAGUGAAUCUGCAAUCGUAACAGCUCUACGCCCGUGUCUAUAACGUCCCUCUAUUGGCGUUGAGUAGCUACCGAGCGAGGGCAAUCUCGCUAUUGAUUGCACCUUGCAUCCUCCCGCCCCUUUCUCCUGCCGCGAUCCCCUCUCCGCGACCAUCCUUCGUCCAUCCCAACCCUCAGGGCAACCCCUCCGAUUCCUCUUUUUCUCUACUACUUUCCUCUUUCCCUCGACUCUUUUCGAUUCGAAUUUGCCCCAAGCCAAGGGCCGAGAGACGCUCAGGAACGCACAUUUUAUUCUUUUAUUUUUUCGACGCAACAUACGGUUUCGAUUAUUAACUUUAUACAACAGAAAGUGAUACCAUUUUUUUUUUUAAUUAUUACAAUAUUACAAUAGAAUCUGUUUAUAGAAACGAAAUUUUACCGAUGUCUGAUUAUUUGAAUUGUCACUGAAUAUCACUAAGAACAUACAACAAUUAUGAAUAAUAACUUUAAGAGAUCGAAAUAUGAAAUUGGAUACGAGAAGAGAAGAGUUUGUCCUGUAUAUUUGAAUAAUACGAAAACUUGAUUUGAAAUUGAUACAUUAACUUUUCACGUAAUCUAAUAUAAUAUAACCUAACCUAACCUAACUCGUUCCGUCUUCCGAUUGGCCGAAAUUAUUACGGAUUUUUAUUUAGAGAUAUCGAAGAACAAUGUAUCGACUCGCGGUGACUCGCCCCAACAGCGACGAUCCCACUUUGACGUCUUGACGUCAAUUUUGUUAAUUAAUUCGCCUUCAUUAAAACGAUCGAUCGAGAGACUCGGGUUGACACGUUAGUUACACUUCACCACCGUGAAAACUCGAUUUAACCGCUUAAAGAUUUAUCGGGGACAACCAGUCUCGUCGACUUGUUAUUGCAACGAAAAAUUUUGCGCAUUUAUUACACACAUUUUCUUCAAUAAUAACAAAACUAACGAAUUAUAAUUUUAAGGAAAAUGGUUUCAAUUCCUGUAAGAUUGAAUGUUUACGAUUUGGAAAAGAAAUAUUUUGAGUAACUCGAGAAAUGCAAAUUUUUGGUCGCGAAGCUUUUAUGACGCAUUUACAAUCGAUACAUUCAGUAUGAAAGUUGAAACGACAGAGCAACGAAGCCAUUGUUUUCUCAUAAUGUAUAGCGACUGCAAUCGACACCCGAUGCAUCACUGUAUAAAAGAUUAAAGUUUCAGCGGGAAACAUCACGUAUUGCAUUAUUUUGACUUUACGAUGAUUUAUAAUCUACGAUGUCAUGUCAUAUCAUCCUUGCCUUCCAAAGAAUUCAAAGAGAG
This 3495-nucleotide long non-coding RNA is filed under the name Apis dorsata (giant honeybee). RNAcentral describes it as "uncharacterized LOC116186203, transcript variant X1". The record is from RNAcentral. Lineage: Eukaryota; Metazoa; Arthropoda; Insecta; Hymenoptera; Apidae.